CCGAGAGAUGCGUUUCAGAUUGGUCUGCGGUGUAGCAUCUUGUGUCUCUAAAAUGAGCUGCUCGUUAUGCGUAGAUAAUCCUUUGUACUGCAGUUUUUUUCAAAGGAUAUAACGUUGGCUAUGGAAAACUACAAAUAUGUUGCUAUCGCUUCCAAUAACAUUGCUGCCCUGAAUUUAUCAGGCGCUUUCGACAAAGGUCAGUGGGAAAAAGUUGAUGGACUACUUUCUGGAGGACGAUCUCUGAUGAAAAACAUUUUAAUUGAAGACACUGUCUUCUGAUGCCAGUGAUGGGGAAGAAACGGAAAUCAACAGUGUUGUCAUGGAAGAAGUUGACCGAGUUUUGAAAUCAGUGGAAUGUCUGUGCAAACUAAAUGAAAACAACACAGGAUGUCUUAUUUAAUGGAAGGGGUUGCAGUCUGCUGUGACGCUUUCAUCCAUGUAUACGGUCUUUCAGCAACAGUAGAACACACCUGACUCUCCUCCACCAGUCACACAAGGAGAAUGGUCUAAUGCCUCCCAUCAAAAAGAGAGCUGGCCCAAGCAAGUACAGGUUACACCUGAAGCAUGGGGACUUGCAGCGAGUGGUGAACUUUAUCAACAAAUACGCAGAGGACAAUGACAUAGUAUUGCCAGAACGACACCAAGGACACAAACACUUUGGAGGCAAGCUACUGCCAUCCCAUGUGGCAAAAGCAGCAGUGUGGCGUCUCACCAAGUGUUGUCAUUGAUUCCUUGUAAUGUAAAGCAUAAACACAUUUUGAUUAUUUAAUUGACCUCCAACAUGAUUGGCACUACUUUUAUUGAUCUCACAUUAUUUCUGUAUUUUCCAGAUGUACGUGUAGUCGGGCUGUCUUCCUUCAGGAAUCUAUGGAGAAAAUUGCAGCGCCACAGCUCAAGCACUAAGCCCAGGACAGACCUGUGCUGGCAGUGCCAGGGGAACAACUGGCAGAUCUGAAGACCUGAUAAUCUGCCAGAAGCUGUUUAAUUAGUCAAGCUGAAGAAGCAAGAGCAGCAUCUCCUGCUUGUUCAGUGAGCGAUCUGUCUACCAGAAGAUGGUUGCUGACUGCAAGACCACCUGUCAAGACUUGCAGUUGUCUCUGGGUUUGCUCAACAAGUGCACUAUCCUUCUGACCCUAUGAAGCCAGGUGCCAUCUACUUUUAACUCCUCGCAAGUGUGGCUUGUUUGGUGUCUGCUGUGAAGGAAUACCACAAGUCGACUACUUGAUUGAUGAAGGCAUGUCAUACAGCAAAGGCAGUAGUGUAGUCAUGUGAAGAACAGCACUUUGACAGGGGUCAACACCCCACAGCUGGUUGGACUGGAGGAUGGUACGGUGCUGGUGGAAAGCUAUGGCUGGCAACAACACCUGACUCCGUACUUCAGGCCGCUGCCACAGAUCAAGCAGUACCAGCACUUCAGCUUCAGACAGACCAGUCAUUAGCACUAUCUGCAGUGCUCUAUUCAAAUGACUCUAUCCUAACACACACGCCAUACAUUGCUGCUAGUAUUUAUUUUUUUAUCCUGCUGCUCACCCACUUUACCCCUGAUUGUAUGCAUAUAACUACCUCAUCUAUCACUGAUAUCGUUAUUGCUCUUGUACAUACUGUAUAUUUUAUUUAUAUUGACAUUAUCUAUUUCUGGUAUUGCUAGUACUUUUGGCUGUAGUAACCAUUUGGCUGUACCGUUUACACCUUCUGUAGAGACCCAUCCAAUUAGCAAGAUGUGGCCAGUGGUGUAAAAGUACUAAACUAUUUUGGGGAGGUAUCUGUACUUUACUUGACUAUUUAUAUUAUUGGCAACUUUUACUUCACUACAUUCAGAAUUUAAAAAAAAAAGUUUUACUCCAUUCAUUUUUCCAUGACACCCAAAAGUACUCGUUACAUUUUGACACACAAAUUGUCCAAUUCACACACUUAUCAAAAGAACAUAAUUCACACACUUAUCAAGAG
This 1947-nucleotide long non-coding RNA is filed under the name Salmo salar (Atlantic salmon). Its description in RNAcentral is "lncRNA (ENSSSAG00000106787.1)". Lineage: Eukaryota; Metazoa; Chordata; Actinopteri; Salmoniformes; Salmonidae. The record is from RNAcentral.